RNAcentral lists this ribosomal RNA (546 nucleotides) under Clavibacter michiganensis subsp. michiganensis. Its description in RNAcentral is "bacterial SSU rRNA". It matches the Rfam family "Bacterial small subunit ribosomal RNA", at positions 992 to 1533 of the family's 1533-position model. The record is from RNAcentral. Lineage: Bacteria; Bacillati; Actinomycetota; Actinomycetes; Micrococcales; Microbacteriaceae.
GGAAACAUGCAGAAAUGUGUGCCCCGCAAGGUCGGUAUACAGGUGGUGCAUGGUUGUCGUCAGCUCGUGUCGUGAGAUGUUGGGUUAAGUCCCGCAACGAGCGCAACCCUCGUUCUAUGUUGCCAGCACGUAAUGGUGGGAACUCAUAGGAGACUGCCGGGGUCAACUCGGAGGAAGGUGGGGAUGACGUCAAAUCAUCAUGCCCCUUAUGUCUUGGGCUUCACGCAUGCUACAAUGGCCGGUACAAAGGGCUGCGAUACCGUAAGGUGGAGCGAAUCCCAAAAAGCCGGUCUCAGUUCGGAUUGAGGUCUGCAACUCGACCUCAUGAAGUCGGAGUCGCUAGUAAUCGCAGAUCAGCAACGCUGCGGUGAAUACGUUCCCGGGCCUUGUACACACCGCCCGUCAAGUCAUGAAAGUCGGUAACACCCGAAGCCAGUGGCCUAACCGCAAGGGAGGAGCUGUCGAAGGUGGGAUCGGUGAUUAGGACUAAGUCGUAACAAGGUAGCCGUACCGGAAGGUGCGGCUGGAUCACCUCCUUUCUAAGGA